UUUUUUUUUUUUUACUAUUAUUAUUAUUCUUUUAUUAUUUAUUUUUUUAAUGUAUUAGAGAAACAGACUGCAUUUACACCGAGGUUACCCAGACAACGUUUGUGCUGGAGAAGAUUAAAAAAAAAAAAAAAAAGAAAAAGAAAAAAUAAAAAAAGGAGAAGAAAUGUAAAAGAGAGAGGACAAAAAGAGAAUCCUGCGAGUUAAAGAAUUCUGCUUCCAGCUACCAUGUACAGAAAUCAAAAAGGAUUAACAAGUUUUUUUUCAUUUAAUUUCCUGUACACCAGACGCUUUUGUUAAGAGAUCAGAGAUAUUGCUAUUUAUUGAAUUUUUAAUAUGAUCUUUAUUAAAAGGCAGCACACAUGUUUAGUUUUCCUUUUUUUCUUUUUUUUUAAACAUUCAUGGGUAUAAAAAUCAAAGCACAGGAAUGAACCAUGGUUGUUUGAUUUUGGUCUCUUUAUAUUAUGGUGAUUCAGACUCUUAUUUAAAUUUUAAAAUAAUAAAAACCCAGCCCACAUAGAAAUAGCCCCUCAUCCUCCUUUUAACUCACAUCUAUUCUGCUAAGUAAGCAAUGGGCCCAGAGCAGCACUUUGACCAAUCAGAUAAUGAAUUCUGCCUUUGGAGUCAGCAUUAAGACCAAGGAAUGAGGUGUGUAGCUGAGUAGAAAGGGCUUUGUGUAAUUAAAUCAGCACUGUAUGUGCUCAUUUAUUACAUGCAAUACCCCCAGGUUAGUCUGCAGCAUGAACUGUAGCACUAAUGAAAGGAGUAAAAAUCAAACUUAUAUGAUCCCCUCCCAGCCCACAGUUCUGGGUGCUAAGGAGCAGGGCCAGGCUGGUCCUGGAAGAGCCAAGAUUGCUGGAGCAGAACCUGUUUUACCCAGUCAUUUACAAAACACAUCAAACCAUCCUCCCCCAGUGACAGUCAACAGCAAUUCCAGCCUCUCCUUUCUUAAAUAUUUAGCCUGACAUAAACAUGGUGAUUUCUUAAGGUUAGAUUUGUGCUAAAAUCUAAGAAAAUAUCCUGACCAAAAUAGAAAUACCUUCUUUUCUAUCUGCAGCUCUAUAGAUUUGCUUUAGAACCUUUACAAUCUGCAACCAUUUAAAAACCAGACUAGACUAAGAUUUCAUCGAACAUCCUGCUUGCUUCUUUGUUAUGCUGCUCAUAUUGAAUCCGUGGGAUUCAACCUUGUUUUCCUGAGUAUAAAUAUUAUUGUGCUGGCCUGAAGCUUGGGAACUUUCUUCUGCCAGACUUCAGUUCUGUAUGGCCUGUGAAUUUGCUUGGUCUUUCUGACAAAACACACUGUAACCUGAGCCAGUGAACCUCAGGAGAGAAGGUGGACAUGAUCUACCAACUCAUGUUUAGUUUCUUUUUCAGGCAAGGUUUUCACUGUCUAGAAUGCCAGCUGGAUUUCAUAGUGCCUGUAAUUCCAUAUAUAUUUGUGCAACUGUUUUGGGAAACCUUACUAUGGCAGCCUUGUGGGUUUUGUUGUUUAUAACAUCGCAGCAGGGCAGACAAAUUUGAAGGGAACUGCUGGUGCAGCCCUACAGAGCCAGAAGGGCAAAGAACAGCUCUGAGGAAGUCCAAAACCUAACCAUAACAGACAGGCCUUUCUUCCUCUUAUCUGUAGAUAAGGUUGGUGCUGCCCAGCAGUGUAAAUGCGGCCUCUGGGCUUCACGUUCCACAAUGAGAUUUGGUAGUGAUUCUCCCCUAUGGCAUUCACCUGUUUAAAACAAAUUACUCAUGAAGUAUGAAAUCACUGGACAGCGUGGGUCACAUAUUUUAGGAGGAUAUACUGCCUGGGAUUCUCUAAAGUGCUUCACACAAUGAAGGAAGAGCUCAGGGUUGGCUUAAAGAUCUACUCCAGUAUACAGCAAGUAGUCAGCCUUACUCAGAAUCAAGGGAAGACCAAGUAUUAUGAAACAUAUUUACAUAAAACAUUUACACACAAGCACCAGGUUUAUGAAAGAAAAUAAAUAAGAAGUCAUCAAUUCCUACUUACAGAAGACAAAUUGUGAUUUUCCCUUGUUUGUUGGAAGGGAGCAUUCUGCUGACCAGCACAGCACAGAGUUACAAGCACCAGAGGAUGCAGAUCACUCGGGUUCUUUUCAUCAACCUUUUAGACCAAAAGCACUCUCACAAAAGGUGUCCUGAGCCUGAAGUGAGGACAAGUCAAGUCUCUUGACUGAAUGCAGCAUGUGUCAACCUGCACACCUUCUGACCUGCCAGGUUACUUCUACUUCUGGCACCAAGAAUUCCAGAGAGGAUACCUCAUCUGUGUCUUUUCUUUUUAAUGGAAAGUUGGAGCUAUAUCUAACAUCAGAAGUAAUUACUCACUGUAUCAAUAAUUGCAAAGGGUGGUAUGCAGAUCACAGAUGGCCUGUGGGGAGCAGCAGGCACAGACAGAAUGGGCCAGGUGCUAUUUGAUGUUGGAAGAAGUUAGAGCCAUCUUCCAGCUUGGAACAAGAGACUAUUACAGGAGAGCAAAGGUGAGCUUCCAUAUACACCCACACCUCACCUGUUCUUUCUAAAAAUCACCUGUACCUCAGGAUCUAGUCAAAAAUCUGAAGUGAUAUGGGCUUUUGUCUUUUUUUUUUUUUUUGCUUCCCCUACAGACUUUGACAAAUAUUUUUCCAAAGGUAGAUGCUUUUAACUUUCCAAAAGAAAACUAGCUUUCCUACAAUUCAAAAUAAAUGUCCACUUUUUUCCCCAGUGUUUUGAGGAGGAGCUUUUUUUUCCAAGUGCAGUGGUCAAAAUAAGAUUCUUUUCUAUCACUAAAAAAAAAGAACACCACAUUUGUUUUUUUCUUCUUUUGUCCUUUCUUAUUCUUCUUUUGAAAUAAUUUUUUGAAGUAAUAAAAAUAUCAAAAGACUUUUCCCCCCCUUGAGAUUAACAAAAAUUUGUACCAGAACCCCUUACUUCUUGAAAGAAGUCCACAAGAUGAACUUAAACACGAGGGUUUUGUUCCUCUGUGUGAAGACUCAGUCUGUGGAAGCUGCACUGAAAACCUGCCAAAAAACCUUCUUAGGACUGAAAAAUUGGGUUCAGUGGUCACUUCCUUUUAAAUGUGUCUGGCAACCAGCACUAUUUCUAUGACUCAGGCAGAAAACUGAUUUCUAUGAUUAUCAGACAUUUAAAACCCCCUAAAAUGAAACAGGAGAUAGAGAGGGGGUUCUCACUGCAGUAAUGGCAAUCUGUUUUGAGCCCCUGGGUUCUCAGAACCUCAAGUAGAUCAACUUGAGACUGCAGCACCAGUGAGCUCUGGUUUGUUUCACAUGAGGAAUUUUACACAGACAUUUUCAAAAUGAUGCACUAAAAUUUCAGCGGGUAACAAAAAGAAUUAAAAAUAAAACCAAUAAUUCAUUCAUAGCUCACUUGUGUCUCAGUGAAUUUGAAGAGAAUCAAGAACUGUGCUGAAAUUUUAGAUUCUUGUGGGAAGCCAGACUGAACCAUCACUACAGGUGCCACAAAUGGGAUCCAUGCCAGAGUGGAAUUGGCCCCAUUCCUCUUGCAGUAAUGAAGAAGUGAUUUCAUUAGAGACCAACAUGAUUCAUUAAUAUCAGUCACUCUGUAUUAAUACAGGAUAAUACAGUCAGAAGUGGGUUUUCUCCCUCUUUUCUUCAAUGCAUGUGAAAGUAUGGUCUGAACUGUGAUGACCAUUUGGGUGAUCAGAACUUGGUCUGAAUGUCAAUAUAUUGCCAAUCUCAGAACAGCCAGGUCAGCUUUUCAAACCCCCUAGACUAAACCCUGCAGCUUGUUGCAAUGUUGUCUUGGCUUUGCCUGCAAAUACAGUAGUUCUUGGAGUGCCAUCACUAGCAAGGUGAGCAGGAUUUACCAUGCCUUAAAGUAAUUACAUGCAGCUUCAAAUUCAAUGAGUUCAGUGGCAAUGGAAGUCCAACAAAGCAUCCUGCUCACAGAACAUGUGUGCCUGCAGUGCAACGCUUCAGUCAGAACUGUGAAAAUACCUUUUUAAUGUGUGCUGGGGAUUAAUUCUCAUGAAAUGGGAGUGUCAUCCUGCUGAAUUUCCCCACAAAAUCUCAGUGCAUGCCAUCAAGUACCACUUCUUAAAGAAACCUGUUAGCUUAGCUAGUGCCAAAAAAAAAGCCACUCAUCAAGCAGUGUGACUGUUGUAAUUUGGAAGCUGUGCUCACUGUCCUCUAUUUCUUGAUUUAAGAGCAUUAUGAAACUAUGUCAUUUUGGUGUAGCCUUUUUAUUCCCAUGGUAAUUUAUGUCUGUGGGUAAGGAUUUUAUUUUAUCUAAGCCAUGGUGCCAGAGUUAUUUUCCGAAGCUCUUGAGUUUCCCUUUGAUGCUGUUGAAAUUAAAACCAGAGCUGCAGAUAGUACCCAUGCUGUUUGUCACAGAGUCAGAGGUUAGAAUGCAUUUGCUGCUAUUUAUUGUGGCUCAUCAACUGCAAUCAUUGCUGCUGCUCUUCUCAUCAUUGAUACAAAAAUAUUAAUAACAGACAACAAGAGUGGCACAUAACUGACUUUGUCUGGCACCAUCAGCAUUAUAAAAAACACAUUACACAAGUAUCUGCAAAUCUCUCCACGCUGCACUAAUCUUACUUGCCUUGGGAAAAUUUUAAUUAAAAAGAUGAAUUCCAAUCUUAAAUAUUUUAUUAUUUAGACAAACAAUUUGCAUCUUUAGUAAGUAAACACUAAAAGAUGCAUCUGCAUUUCCUAUGUAUAGAUGGUGUGAAAUGUUAUAAAGUCUAAUUUCUUUCUAAAUUACAUAAAAAUUUUCUAUCUGUGCUUAGACAACUAAUCAUGUAAAGAGCUAGGCUACAUGUUCUUAACUACAACAUAAAAAUUGUGUCUAACUUAUCUUCCUGUCUACUUGGCCCGUCCUAGGUCUGAAAUGGCACUUCCUGAGAAUUUCCUCAGCAAAAACAUUGGUAAUUUUGCAUUAAUAGAUCAAUAAUGGCCACUCACAUGAACUCCUCUAAGGGCAGGUCUGUAACACAGCCCAAGGUGACACAGCUGUGAGUGAUGACAGUCACCAACAGGUAACAAUGCCAUGGCUUCAUUUGCAGACAUCUACAGGUGCAAGACACCCUGCAGAAUGUUAAUUUGGGAUUUUAGUUUGUUUUCACUCUAUAAUUUUAAAGCAAAAAGAAGGCCAUCAUGUUUCUCAGUGUGUAUGGUAUUGCAUUGGCUUUGCCCAGUUGGGAACUUCCAGUCCUCAACAUUUCUUGGAGCUUUCCACACAGGUUUUGACAAAUUUUUUUUAAAAAAGGGAUUUUUCCUAUUCCACAGGAUGUCUUUGGUGCUCUCUAUCCAGAGAGAGGCACUAAUGCUGUCACCCAGCAAGAUCACAUCUACACUUGGUGCAACACCUCUGGGGGGUGGCCCCACGGAGCAAUAAAGGACCACAAAGCAGGAAGGAGCAAUAAAGGACCAAUAAAGAACCACAAACCACAGCCAGGAAGCUUCACUCUGGGACAUAACUGUGAACACUUUCCAGGAAAGGAAAUGUAAUGCAGGGAGAGAGGAGAGUACAAUUUAUGGAAGCAGAUUUUAUAAUCUCCAUUCACAGAUGCCUCCAGCAUCAAACCCCAGCCUUUUAUCCCCAAAGGUCCAAUUCAUACCUUGUGUAGUUUCAUCUACUUCAGCCAAAUUCCCUCUGCUCCAAGCUGAACGUGUGGAGAAAUCUGAACAGAGCACAGCUGCAUCCUCUGCUCAACAGAAGUUGUCACAGUCCAGCUUUUCCUUCGAAGCUUGCAACCAGCCAGUUCCAUAUGCAUCAUCUCUUCCUGACUCAAACAGGCAGUCUGACCUCAGUUAUUAGCAAUCACAGAGCUUCUGUGGAGUGUUUCACCCUGAAUCAGAAGAUAGCAGGUUUUGUGAUGAGAAACAUCAGGGUCUUGCUCUUUCCUCUGACCCCAGAAGGUAUGGGAUGCGGAAAGGUUAUGGAUACAGUUUAAGGGAAGUUACCAGAAAUUUUUAAAUAUUACCUACUUAUGUAUUAAAAAAAUCAGU
This 5972-nucleotide long non-coding RNA is filed under the name Taeniopygia guttata (zebra finch). RNAcentral's name for it is "lncRNA (ENSTGUG00000025238.1)". Lineage: Eukaryota; Metazoa; Chordata; Aves; Passeriformes; Estrildidae. The record is from RNAcentral.